GACGAACGCUGGCGGCGUGCUUAACACAUGCAAGUCGAGCGGAGCGGCGGACGGGUGAGUAACGCGUGAGUAACUGCCCCCCUCUCUGGGAUAACAGUUGGAAACGGCUGCUCAUACCGGAUAGUGGGGGAUGACUCGGGUCCUAUCAGCUUGUGGGUGGGGGAGUGGCUUACCAAGGCGACGACGGGUAGCCGGCCUGGGAGGGCGAACGGCCACAAUGGGCUGAGAGACGGCCCAAACUCGUACGGGAGGCAGCAGUGGGGAAUAUUGCACAAUGGGGGAAACCAUGAUGCAGCAACGCCGCGUGCGUGAUGACGGCCUUCGGGUGGUAAACCGCUUUCAGACAUGACGCGGUAGUGGCAGAAGAAGCACCGGCUAACUACGUGCCAGCAGCCGCGGUAAUAC
RNAcentral lists this ribosomal RNA (405 nucleotides) under uncultured bacterium. Its description in RNAcentral is "partial 16S ribosomal RNA". It matches the Rfam family "Bacterial small subunit ribosomal RNA", at positions 28 to 526 of the family's 1533-position model. The record is from RNAcentral.